UACGUAGGGGGCAAGCGUUGUCCGGAAUCAUUGGGCGUAAAGAGCGUGUAGGUGGCUCGGUAAGUCCGCUGUGAAAGUCCAGGGCUCAACCCUGGAAAGCCGGUGGAAACUGUCGAGCUCGAGUCCGGAAGAGGCGAGUGGAAUUCCUGGUGUAGCGGUGAAAUGCGCAGAUAUCAGGAAGAACACCCGUGGCUAAGGCGGCUCUCUAGUACGGUACUGACGCUGAGACGCGAAAGCGUGGGGAGCGAACAGG
This 253-nucleotide ribosomal RNA is filed under the name uncultured bacterium. RNAcentral describes it as "partial 16S ribosomal RNA". It matches the Rfam family "Bacterial small subunit ribosomal RNA", at positions 524 to 776 of the family's 1533-position model. The record is from RNAcentral.